RNAcentral lists this ribosomal RNA (192 nucleotides) under uncultured bacterium. RNAcentral's name for it is "partial 16S ribosomal RNA". It matches the Rfam family "Bacterial small subunit ribosomal RNA", at positions 335 to 524 of the family's 1533-position model. The record is from RNAcentral.
ACUCCUACGGGAGGCAGCAGUAGGGAAUAUUGGGCAAUGGGUGAGAGCCUGACCCAGCCAUGCCGCGUGCAGGAAGACGGCCCUCUGGGUGUUAAACUGCUUUUGAAUGGGAAGAAACGGUAAGCCUGCGGGCUUAAUGACGGUACCAUAGGAAUAGCCACCGGCUAACUACGUGCCAGCAGCCGCGGUAAU